GCGGUGGGGUCUCCGCUAUGGCGACACAGGGGCAAAGUCACCAGGGCUGACCUCUCUGUGGGCCCCAUCCCUGAGAGAUGUGGGGCACCUACACUUUCUUUCCCACUGGCAUCCAGGUGACAGGGUCACAGAAGAGGACCUGUUAUCCCUUGCUACUGGCCCACAGAACUCAGCAACCCAGAGUGGACACCCAAGGCCAUGGCACGCCACGGUGUCAGGAUGUGGGGGGCUGGCAGUGCCACGAUCACCACCUCCAGGUGGCACAGUCCUGCAUCAGACAGCCAGGAGAUGCACUGAAAUGCAGCCUCUGGGGUCUACCUCAGACGCCCCCACCAGAGACCCUGUGGCCGGUGCGGGGGGCCGAAGUUCCCAGGUGACAUCCAGUGUCCCUCUGAGGACCUCUGAGGGGAACUUCUAGGAAGAAACAGAACGGAGGAUCCCUCUGCUGUGCCACAUGACUGCUCUGGACUGUGAGCCCCUGGAGGGCGGAGGGUCUCACUGUGGAGUCUAGGCUGGCCUCAAACUGUGGCAAUUCUCCUGCCUCAGCCUUCUGAUUGCUGGGAUUACAGCUCAGCUGUGGGGAAGCAGCUGGAAGGCACUGCUCCAGGCUCUCCGGGCUGCUGAGGCCCUGCACAUGCUGUUCCCCACGGGGACGCCCUUCCAGCCCUCGCCAUUCCACCUUCAAACUCUGUGGGGCUGGGCUUAGGCCCCUCUCCUGUCUUUAUUUAAAAUGUCAAUAUUUAUUUUGUGUGACAGAAUUUUUAGCUUUAAUUUUGAUUUUUACAAAAAUUGUAUUAAAUAUUAUCGUGAUUAUUGGGGUUUUGAGCCUCCUUCAGAUUUUCACCCAAGAGCCUCACCCGCCUGGGCCUGUCCUGGUGCUGUCACCUCCCAGGGACGGUGGAUUGGUCCAUGGGCCCUGGCGCUACCUCUGCAGCACCCAGGCCCCGUCACUCCCCAGUUCCCUAUGCCCACCCCGUGUCCUCCCUACACCUGGCAGGGCAGCCUGCAUGGGGCACAAUUCCUACAAACCUUAAAAUAUCAACAAAUAGAAUAAACUCUGAGAAAAGCUUAAAAUGUUCCCUAUAAGCCAGUCCAGGUGGUGCACACCUGUAUCUCAGCACUCCUAGGAGCCGAGGCAGGAGGAUCCCAAGUUUGAGCCCAGCCUGAGCAACUUAGUGAGACGCUGUCUCCAAAUAAAAUAAAAAGGGCUGGGAUGUAGCUCAGAGUGAAGGCCGGGGGCGGGGGACUGUGGAGUUUCCUCUAAGUGCAAGGUCACCUGCAACUCGGUUAUUAACUCCCAAGCCAGGGCCAAGUUUCUUUCUGCUUCAACUCCAUCAAUCCACAGAGCCGCACCACGGACCCUGCUAGCAGCACCUGGGUCUUAACCUUAAUGGCUCCUCGCUGUCCCCAGGCCCCUCCCAGCCCCUCACCAGCCAGAUCUGCCCUGGGUCCUCUGGGUCCAGAAUCUGCACAGACCCAGGGCCGUUCCUUCCAGCACAGGGCAAGGCAGUGGGUGAAGGUGAAGGACACCUUUGGGAGCCAGGUGAGAUGCGACUCCAUCUCUUCCUGGCUCAUCGUCCCCUCUCUGAGCCUUAAUGUUUUCUCUAUAAAAUGGGGAUAUGCAGGGGCUAAUACAAAUACAGGGCUGGGUGUGGUGGUGCAGGCCUGUAACUGGGAGGCUGAGGCAGGAGGGUCACCAAGAGCUCCCCUUGCCCUCCUCUUUUCUCCUUCCCAUCAUUUCCUUUGAGCAGGCGUCUGGGUCCGCAGGGGCUGCAGAGAACCAGCGCACUGCCUUCUGUCUUCACCUAAGGGGAAAGGGCUUGCAGAUCCAGGCGCGAUGUACCGGAAAAGGCUGAGGACUUUCUGCAUUUGGCAUCGGCCAAGACCCUGGGCUCAAGUGGCACAGAAGCCUUGGGGACCGAGAACAGCACGGCCGCACAGGGAGCCAAUGCCACGGGGGCCUGAGAGUUGGGGUCAGGGUAGAGGAGCCCAUGUCUGAGUGUGGCCUGGGUUAAAGAAGCCCCCACAGGUCCCAUGAGGGUCACCGUUCAGCUCAACCAAGAUGCCAUAAAAUGCCUGGCACCCAAGGGACAUCAAUUUCCCCCCAGAGCCUGCCAUGGGCAGCACCAGGGUCAGAGCCACGGGACGUCCAUGCUUCCUGACAGCCCUGAGUCUCACAGCAGCAAGCUAAGUCCCAGUGCCCG
Molecule: non-coding RNA, 2204 nt
Organism: Heterocephalus glaber (naked mole-rat)
Lineage: Eukaryota; Metazoa; Chordata; Mammalia; Rodentia; Bathyergidae
Source: RefSeq, a predicted model, not a curated record